RNAcentral lists this non-coding RNA (491 nucleotides) under Pongo abelii (Sumatran orangutan). The record is from RNAcentral. Lineage: Eukaryota; Metazoa; Chordata; Mammalia; Primates; Hominidae.
GGCAUACCAAAAUGUGUCUGGAAUUGGUGGGUUCUUGGUCUUACUGACUUUAAGAAUAAAGUUGCAGACUUUUGUGCUAAAAGAAAAUGCAUUCUGCCAACAACUAAUGAGCUUGGAAGAGAACUCCAAACCCCAGAAGAGGCCUGUCACAUUAGCUAACACCUUACUUUCCACCCACUGAGACCUUGAGCAGAGACUUCAGUUACACCCCACCCAGACUUCUGACCUGCAAAACUCUCCAGAGGGAAGUGAGAAGGAUGUUCACUUGCUGGUGAGAGAAGGAGCUGGUUCCAUCCAUUAUGCAGUCCCCUGGGAGCGCUAAAUGCAACUUUAUCUCAACGGGGAGUGGACGAUGAGCAGGACGUCGCUAGAGGGAAAGAGCCUCACUUCCCGUUUCCUUUGGCAGCGCCCUUUUCCCGACCUAAGGGAGCAGACCUUCGUUGGUUGGCGUGAGGACUGGCGGGAGAGGUUUUGUGCGAGGAUCCGCACUG